GCCUGGGUGGCUCAGUAGGUUGGGCGCCUGACUUCGGCCCAGGUCAUGAUCUUGCAUUUUGUGGGUUCGAACCCCACAUGGGGCU
This 85-nucleotide transfer RNA is filed under the name Felis catus (domestic cat). It matches the Rfam family "tRNA". From Rfam's summary of the family: Transfer RNA (tRNA) molecules are approximately 80 nucleotides in length. Their secondary structure includes four short double-helical elements and three loops (D, anti-codon, and T loops). RNAcentral also lists the same sequence under 3 other names. Lineage: Eukaryota; Metazoa; Chordata; Mammalia; Carnivora; Felidae. The record is from Rfam by way of RNAcentral.